This 256-nucleotide ribosomal RNA is filed under the name uncultured bacterium. RNAcentral's name for it is "partial 16S ribosomal RNA". It matches the Rfam family "Bacterial small subunit ribosomal RNA", at positions 524 to 776 of the family's 1533-position model. The record is from RNAcentral.
UACAGAGACCUCAAGCGUUAUCCGGAAUUAUUGGGCGUAAAGCGUACCGACAGGUGGUUUAUUAAGUCUUGGGUAAAAGCCGGAAGCUCAACUUCCGCGUUUGCUUAAGAUACUAAUAGACUAGAGGGGCAAAGAGGUGAUUGGAACGAACGGUGUAGUAGUGAAAUGCGUUGAUAUCAAGAGGAACACUCGUGGCGAAGGCGAGCUACUGGACAACAUCUGACGCUGAGGCUCGAAGGCUAGGGGAGCAAAAGGG